This 470-nucleotide ribosomal RNA is filed under the name uncultured bacterium. RNAcentral describes it as "bacterial SSU rRNA". It matches the Rfam family "Bacterial small subunit ribosomal RNA", at positions 29 to 482 of the family's 1533-position model. The record is from RNAcentral.
AUUAAACGCUGGCGGCAUGCCUUACACAUGCAAGUCGAACGGCAGCACGGGGGCAACCCUGGUGGCGAGUGGCGGACGGGUGAGUAAAGCAUCGGAACGUAUCCUGGAGUGGGGGGAUAACGUAGCGAAAGUUACGCUAAUACCGCAUAUUCUGUGAGCAGGAAAGCAGGGGAUCGCAAGACCUUGCGCUCUGGGAGCGGCCGAUGUCGGAUUAGCUAGUUGGUGGGGUAAAGGCCUACCAAGGCGACGAUCCGUAGCGGGUCUGAGAGGAUGAUCCGCCACACUGGGACUGAGACACGGCCCAGACUCCUACGGGAGGCAGCAGUGGGGAAUUUUGGACAAUGGGCGCAAGCCUGAUCCAGCCAUGCCGCGUGAGUGAAGAAGGCCUCGGUUGUAAGACUCUUUCGGUCCGGGGGAAGGAAAGUUUAGGCACCGGGGUUUAAGUACCCUGUGUAGAUGACGGUACCGAA